AGAGAGAGACAUGCGCGCAUAUCAAUAAGCGGAGGAAAAGAAACUAACAAGGAUUCCCUUAGUAACGGCGAGUGAAGCGGGAAGAGCUCAAAUUUGAAAUCUUCAAGGUUUUACCUUGACGAAUUGUAGUUUAAAGAAGUGUUUUCUGCUGAAGUUUUGGUAAAAGUUCUUUGGAAUAGGACAUCAUAGAGGGUGAGAAUCCCGUAUUUGACCAUUAUUUUCAGCUUUGUGAUACACUUUCAAAGAGUCGGAUUGUUUGGGAAUGCAGUCCAAAAUGGGUGGUAAAUUUCAUCUAAAGCUAAAUAUUGGCGAGAGACCGAUAGCGAACAAGUACCGUGAGGGAAAGAUGAAAAGAACUUUCGAAAAGAGAGUUAAACAGUACGUGAAAUUGUCAAAAGGGAAGCGUUUGACACCAGUGUUGUUUUCUCGAAAAUCAAUUAAAAAUGGCUCGAUUUUGUAUUGCUUGAGACCUUAAAAGCUCACUGUACAUUUUUCGUGUCUUUUUUAAUGCACUUUUCGUUUAACAAGUCAACAUCAGUUUCUUUUGUUGUAAAAGGGUCAUUGGAAGGUGGCUUUCUUUUCGGAGAAAGUGUUUAUAGCCUUUGGCCUCUGCAAUCGGAAGAGACUGAGGUCUGCAGCGUAGACUCUUCGGGGUUAGAUACAUUUGUGCUAAGUUAUAGCUUUUUAUAGACAACUUGUUGACUAUAAUUAGUCUUGUAGCUUACUCGCUUAUGCUAUUUUACCUACGCUUAGGAUGUUGAAGAUGUAGCACAUCAU
RNAcentral lists this ribosomal RNA (777 nucleotides) under uncultured Neocallimastigales. Its description in RNAcentral is "partial large subunit ribosomal RNA". It matches the Rfam family "Eukaryotic large subunit ribosomal RNA", at positions 23 to 620 of the family's 3401-position model. The record is from RNAcentral. Lineage: Eukaryota; Fungi; Neocallimastigomycota; Neocallimastigomycetes; Neocallimastigales.